This is a non-coding RNA of Acanthosepion pharaonis, 104 nucleotides long. The record is from the annotation of a GenBank genome assembly. Lineage: Eukaryota; Metazoa; Mollusca; Cephalopoda; Sepiida; Sepiidae.
UACAGCCACAUCACGUUGAAUCACCGGUUCCCGUACGAUCACCGAAGUUAAGCAACGUCGAACCUGGUCAGUACCUAGAUGGGUAACCGCUUGAGAGUACCGAG